RNAcentral lists this small RNA (568 nucleotides) under Pongo abelii (Sumatran orangutan). RNAcentral's name for it is "processed transcript". The record is from RNAcentral. Lineage: Eukaryota; Metazoa; Chordata; Mammalia; Primates; Hominidae.
GUGCGGUGCCGGGAGGGCGGCUGGGCAGGCUGCAGGAUGCUGCGCGCCGCCCUGUCCCUGCUCGCGCUGCCCCUGGCGGGGGCGGCCGAAGAACCCACCCAGAAGCCAGAGUCCCCGGGCGAGCCUCCCCCAGGCUUAGAGCUCUUCCGCUGGCAGUGGCACGAGGUCGAGGCGCCCUACCUGGUGGCCCUGUGGAUCCUGGUGGCCAGCCUGGCCAAAAUAGCCCCUAGGGUGCAGGCUGGCUUACUGGACUUCCUGCUGUUUGGGAGCCUCAUCUCGGCGGUGGACCCUGUGGCCGUGCUAGCUGUCUUUGAGGAGGUGCACGUCAAUGAGACUCUCUUUAUCAUCGUCUUUGGCGAGUCCCUGCUCAAUGAUGCUGUCACCGUGGUGCUGUACAAGGUCUGCAACUCCUUUGUGGAGAUGGGCUCUGCCAAUGUGCAGGCCAUUGACUACCUGAAGGGAGUCGCGGGUCCGCAUCAUCGAGCCGCUGCUGGUCUUCCUCCUCGCCUACGCAGCCUACCUCACUGCUGAAAUGGCCUCGCUGUCCGCCAUUCUUGCGGUGACCAUG